Long non-coding RNA from Helianthus annuus (common sunflower), 1920 nucleotides. RefSeq lists it as uncharacterized. NCBI's taxonomy places the organism in Eukaryota, Viridiplantae, Streptophyta, Magnoliopsida, Asterales, Asteraceae. The record is from RefSeq and is a predicted model, not a curated record. The transcript has 11 exons.
AGGGAUUCAAGCACAGAAACGACAGAGAUGAAUACAUAUCUGAAAACUGGGACACAAUUCCCUAACCAGCGCCUCCAGCAAUGACGUCUAGGGUUCCGAAGAGUUGAUCUGGAGCCAAUUCAGUUGGCAGGAUACAAAGGAGAAGCCAUGUCAUAGACUAGAGAUUGUUGAACAAUACGGCGUAAAGCGUUUUGUUAUUUCAAAAAUUCAUGUCAUUUUUAAUCUUCCAGCCUGAUUCGGCCUUGCUUUUGAAGAAGCUUCAGGAUAAAUACCCGGGUUCAAUCUAUUUGGCGGUUUAUCUAUCAACAAAACCUAAUGAAUAUUUUUCUCUGGGCUAUUGGCGAUCUUCUGUUCUUCAUUUAACAUCCAGGUCUGAAUCAAUAUUAUAAUCUCCAACCAAUCAAUCCUCAUCGGAUUUUGUCUGCAAUCAAGGUCAGUUUGUAUAUGUUAUUCUUCUUUUAUUUUAAUUUUCCCUCUGUUUCAUGGUUUAGUUGUUCAUCUAUUGGCUGAUUAGGUAUUUGGUUAUCUUAUUCUCACUGUGGUUCCAAUCAAGAGGUUAUGGAUGUUCCUGGUUGUCUCCAUAUGUGUAAUAGACGACGGCUCGAACGAUUCUUGAGGUUGAAGACAACAAUGGCAGGAGGGACUUUGGCGGCACGAUUAGGGUUUUGGGAUUUUUGUUCGGGUUUUACGGGUUGGGUUAUUCGGGUUUGUGGAUGGGAAAACGUGACCUGAUAACCGACCCAUUUAAAGUUUGGGUCCAAUGCUUCUGCCGUUAUGUUAUGUUUGGAAACAUGGUACUUUCAAAUACUUUUUUUGAUCGUGGAUUUGUUCGAAAAUCUUGAAAUAGCGUUAGACUCAUUGGCGGUUUGUGGGACAAUACUCAGAUGUGUGUUGAUGAUAUCAAUCGGGUUUAAUGCUGCCACAAGGGACGGAGUUUGCCGGAGUUGGAACUUGCUAGAGCUAGACGAUCGAUUUAGCGAGCGGCUACUGUUCGUAACCUUUCUCAGCUUUUGCAAAACGUUGAGGUUUUGUCCGGUGAUAUCUACCAUAACCCCGGCGAGUUUUAUCAGCAAGGAGUUGUGAAGCAGAGUUGGAUGAUCAAAUCUGUAUGUAUGGAAAACCGGCAUCUACAAAAAGUUGAUGAUGAUAAUGAUACUAAUCUUGGAUUCACAAAAUAGAAUGUCUGCUUAAAUAGUUACACGUGCAGCGAUUAAAACUCUUGAUUUUAAGAGGAUUACUGAGAUUGCUGGAGUGGUGGUUUCAUCAAAGUCUUUGAAAAUAAUUUCUUUAUUAAUGUCAUUCGUUGCAAAUUCAAGUAACAACAUAUUUUAAUAUAAUUUAAAAAAACACAAAUCAAUAAAAUAACUUGUAUGGGUUUAGAAAACAUUCUUAUAUUGAGAUCUCAUUAUCAAUUAAAAAUGAAUUAACUUUACAUGAAAACUUUGAAUACAUAUGGAGUCUAAGUUGGGAUACUUAUGAAACCGAACUAAAAAUUUGUGGUGGAAAAGGGAAAGAUGAUAUUUAAGAGGUUCAAAGUGUUAUUUAUGUAUUUUUUUAACAAGCUAAUUAGAAUAAGAGACUACAAAUACCUUGAUUUUUUUAAUGAUUUUUCCCCUUUAUUGUUUAGGAUUGUUUGUUACUGCCGAUGAGAUUAAUGUGGGCAUCUCAGUCAAUUAGACUACAAAUUAACCAUUGAAAGGUGAGUUAGUUGAAUUUGGAAAAAAGAUACAAUGAUAGAGAUCAAGCAAAUUCAUGGUUUCGUGGUUUAAAACUGUACUUUUCUCGCUUUGUUGUUUUAAAAUUAAGGAAUUUGGCUUGAGUUGUAGUCAUAUAAGUUUAAUAAAUUUUGGCCUUAUUGAGUUUUUACACUAUAAUUUGUUUAACCAAGUGAUAUUAAGCCUAUAAUAAUUGAUUUUGUUA